This 193-nucleotide ribosomal RNA is filed under the name Lipotrophidae sp. Its description in RNAcentral is "partial small subunit ribosomal RNA". It matches the Rfam family "Eukaryotic small subunit ribosomal RNA", at positions 874 to 1066 of the family's 1831-position model. The record is from RNAcentral. Lineage: Eukaryota; Apicomplexa; Conoidasida; Neogregarinorida; Lipotrophidae.
AGGGACAGUUGGGGGCAUUCGUAUUUAGUAGCUAGAGGUGAAAUUCUUAGACCUACUAAAGACGAACUACUGCGAAAGCAUCUGCCAAGGAUGUUUUCAUUAAUCAAGAACGAAAGUUAAGGGAUCGAAGACGAUCAGAUACCGUCGUAGUCUUAACCAUAAACGAUGCCGACUAGAGAUUGUGAAGCUGUCA